AACGAACGCUGGCGGCAUGCCUAACACAUGCAAGUCGAACGAGAUGCCUUCGGGUGUCUAGUGGCGCACGGGUGCGUAACGCGUGGGAAUCUGCCCUGGGGUUCGGGAUAACCGUUGGAAACGACGGCUAAUACCGGAUGAUGAUGAAAAUCCAAAGAUUUAUCGCCCUGGGAUGAGCCCGCGUCGGAUUAGCUAGUUGGUGGGGUAAAGGCCUACCAAGGCGACGAUCCGUAGCUGGUCUGAGAGGAUGAUCAGCCACACUGGGACUGAGACACGGCCCAGACUCCUACGGGAGGCAGCAGUGGGGAAUAUUGGACAAUGGGCGCAAGCCUGAUCCAGCAAUGCCGCGUGAGUGAUGAAGGCCUUAGGGUUGUAAAGCUCUUUUACCCGGGAUGAUAAUGACAGUACCGGGAGAAUAAGCCCCGGCUAACUCCGUGCCAGCAGCCGCGGUAA
Molecule: ribosomal RNA, 453 nt
Filed under: uncultured bacterium
Lineage: Bacteria
Description: partial 16S ribosomal RNA
Rfam family: Bacterial small subunit ribosomal RNA
Source: RNAcentral